This 450-nucleotide ribosomal RNA is filed under the name uncultured bacterium. RNAcentral's name for it is "partial 16S ribosomal RNA". It matches the Rfam family "Bacterial small subunit ribosomal RNA", at positions 354 to 796 of the family's 1533-position model. The record is from RNAcentral.
GUAGGGAAUCUUCCACAAUGGACGAAAGUCUGAUGGAGCAACGCCGCGUGAGUGAAGAAGGUCUUCGGAUCGUAAAACUCUGUUGUUAGAGAAGAACGUACAUGAUAGUAACUGAUCAUGUAAUGACGGUAUCUAACCAGAAAGCCACGGCUAACUACGUGCCAGCAGCCGCGGUAAUACGUAGGUGGCAAGCGUUGUCCGGAUGUAUUGGGCGUAAAGGGAACGCAGGCGGUUUUUUAAGUCUGAUGUGAAAGCCUUCGGCUUAACCGAAGAAUAGCAUUGGAAACUGGAAGACUUGAGUGCAGAAGAGGAGAGUGGAAUUCCAUGUGUAGCGGUGAAAUGCGUAGAUAUAUGGAGGAACACCAGUGGCGAAAGCGGCUCUCUGGUCUGUAACUGACGCUGAGGUUCGAAAGCGUGGGUAGCAAACAGGAUUAGAAACCCGAGUAGUCC